AGAGAGAGAGAGGCAGAGGGAGAAGCAGGCUCCCAAGGAGCAGGGAGCCCGAUGUGGGACUCGAUCCCAGGACCCUGAGACCACGACCUGAGCCGAAGGCAGACGCUUAACGACCGAGCCACCCAGGCGCCCGAGCACGGGACUCUUGAUCUCGGAGUCAUUAUGCACGUAUGUAUGUAUGUAUUUGACAGAAUGAGAGAGCAGUCUCCUGAGAUGAGGAAUGAGAGAGGCAGAGGGAGAAGCAGGCUCCCCGCCCAGCAGGGAGCCCGACGCGGGGCUCGGUUCCAGGACCCCGGGAUCAUGACCUGAGCCGAAGGCAGACGCUUAACCGACCGAGCCACCCAGGCGCCCCAGCCUCAGACUUUUUUUAAGAUUAAAAAACAAAAAACAAAAAAACAAAAAACAACUUGAAUGAAUCUAAAGUUGUGAAAAUUAUACUGGUGCUACCCAAUACAGCAGCUCCUACCGCAUGUGACUACUUAAAUUUUAAUUAAAAUAAAUUGAAGAAAAGUCCAGUUCCUCACUCAUACCAGCCACCUUUCCAGUGCUUCGUACUUACCUGCAGCUAACAGCCAUGGCAGUGAAAAUGCAGAGAAAGAACAUUUCUCUCAUGGAAAGUUCUAUCGGACAGAAGGUAUGUCACAGACAUACUUGUGACCAUUUUGCUUCUUCGGGAUACGAAGAUCUUUGACAUAUUAGAGUGUGUGACUUUAGCUUUAACCACCCCUGGCCCCCCCUCCCAUCAAACUAAGACAAAAACACUAUUCUCUUGAAGUGGGGGGAAAGGGUAUCACAAGUUUGCACAUGAUUUUCUGAGAGCUUUGCUCGACAAGAAGGGAUUGUCUUAGUCUCUCACUUUGUAUCGUGUAUUCAUGAGUGUAUUAGGGUUCUGGAAAGAAAAGGAAGCAAUAGUGUACAGAAGGCAUAAAAGAGAUUGAUGAUGGGCGUGGGCUUCUGCCAUUUUGGAGGCUGACACGAGCCAUGAUACGCUCUUUGCAAGCUGGAGAAGCAGAAGAGCAGGUGACAGGACACCCCAAGACCAGAAGCAGGAGCUCCGGCAACUGAGGACAAGAGAAGAUGCAUGUCCCAGCUCAAGAAGAGGGAAUCUGCCCUUCCGCUGCCUUUUUGUUUUAUUCAGGCCCACGGCUGCCUGCCCACAUUGGUUUGGGCAGAUCUUUAUGAGUCUACCGAUUCAAAUGCUAAUCUCUCAGAAACACCCUCACCGGACACACCGGAAAUAAUGUCCUAUCAGCAGUCUGGGCAUCCUUAGCCCGGCCAAGUCGACACGUAAAAUUUAACCAUCACGGGGAAGCCCUUCACGACCCCAAGAUCAAGAGUCGCAUGCUCUACUGAUUGAGCCGGCCAGGCGUCCUUCUCUCUCUCUGGAAGGAAGAUGUGAAAGUUUAGCACAGUGCCAGGUACAUGCAAGGUCUGGGACACAGAGUGGCAUCCUCUCUUCAUCUUUAUAGGAUUCUGUAGAUUUAAAAAUAUACUUUAAAAUGUAGAGCCGUUGGGCCCUCUCAGUUAAACUCUAAGCAUUUUGUGGCCCAGUGGCAACAAGUUUUAAAGUCUCUUUCAACCCUGCACCUUUUGAAAACUGUCAGCUUCCGUGAGACUUGUCACCCCAGCCGGUGAUGUUAGGGAAGGAGGGUGCACCGUGGUGUAGUACACUCCAAAGGAAAAACACGCACAGGUUGAAAGCCUGACCUUGGCUCUGGUCACGGGAGUUGAUGAUUCAUGAGAACAUCCUGUAUGGCCCCCGUUCUAGAGCCACUUGGGGACUCAAACCGUGAGAGAGGACAGCGUGAGGAAUCCAGGCAGGUCUUGGAGGCUGUUGUCCCCCUAGACCUGAGGGUUUUACCAAGGAAUCUUUGAGCUCCUUCCAGUUUCCAGCUUGGUCUCCCCCUUGUCGCCUCCAAAAAUAGAAUUUGGAACUUAUUCCCCAUGUGACCUAAUGCGUGUCACACUCGUGGGCAGGAAGUGAAUGCUUUCCUGCCAGGCCCGAGCCGUCCCCAGGAGAUGGUCUGGGAAGGAAUGCCUUCUCUGUCCUACUUCACGACAGAAUGUCAGCACGCUUAUUGUAAGGCUACUUUCUUCAGUCCGAAAACACGGCAUGCUCUUCAAAACGGCAGCAAAAGAGGUCAGAUUGGCUAGAUUCGGAUGAUCCUGGGUGUUUACGCUUCCUAAAGUAUGGUCAGCUAUUAGUAAUCAUGCCCUCCAUCCUCUUGACCCCUGUUCUGGGCUCUGUGCGGCUCAUAAAAAUGGUGAGGUCGGCUCAUUAGGGAAACACUCACAUCCUCUAGACGAUUAGAGCAGACAACAGAAUUUGGCUCGUUGACCCAACGUACGGCUGACUGAAGCAGGCAGGCCAUGGCUUGAAAUGUUUGGCAAUAGUAAUUUGGGGUUUCCGGGAUUUGCAGUAAGAAUCGGACGUCCUCGGGGUGGCUCAGUCGUUAGGCGUCUGCCUUCGGCUCGGGUCAUGAUCUCAGGGUCCUGGGAUCGAGCCCCGCAUCGGGCUCCCUGCUCAGCGGGAAGCCUGCUUCUCCCUCUCCCCCUCCCCCUGCUUGUGUUCCCUCUCUCGCUGUGUCUCUCUCUAUCAAAUAAAUAAAUAAAAUCUUAAAAAAAAAAAAAAAAGAA
Molecule: long non-coding RNA, 2637 nt
Organism: Mirounga angustirostris (Northern elephant seal)
Lineage: Eukaryota; Metazoa; Chordata; Mammalia; Carnivora; Phocidae
Exons: 2
Source: RefSeq, a predicted model, not a curated record